Molecule: long non-coding RNA, 29544 nt
Filed under: Panax ginseng (ginseng)
Lineage: Eukaryota; Viridiplantae; Streptophyta; Magnoliopsida; Apiales; Araliaceae
Description: long non-coding RNA (PGIN_LNC005820)
Source: RNAcentral
AGUUAAAGCGUCUCUAGAAAUAAGCUUGCUAACUGAAUAGAAAAUAUCAACAAUCUUAUGCAUGACCUUACAAUAUGGAAUGGAGAUUUAAAUUGACUUGCUGGAGAUGUAUGUUUCUUUCCCCUUUACUUUUAAAUAAUGACUUCUCUUGUUAAGUCUGUAACAUGGUCUUUAGUGCACUGCGUACAUCCUUUUGAUAUGGUAGAAAAGUUACAUGAUGAUAUUUUAAUACUAUUUGAAAUAAGUGUAAGGUAGUUGUUUUCAUGUACCACCACCAGCUCUCAUCCUACGUUCUUCAGGACCAUCACCAUGCCACAAAUUUACAAUCAUUACUUAUCAUUAGGAGACAAACGCUAAACAGAAGUAAUUCAUUCUAGAUUUCAGUAGGAUUUAGAGGACUGAAGAUUCUUUUUUCUUCCUUUUUUUUCUUUUGAUAACUAAAUAGAGCAUUAGAGAAUCGCACAAGAAGCAGUAUAGUAACUCAAGAAGAAUUGACAGGAAAUUAGAUAUUAUAGUACCUUCAUAUAAGUAUCUAUAUCUGGAUCUGGAAUGAUUCCCGCCUCUUUCUCCCUUCUGAUGACCUCAGUCAUUGUCUCUAACAAAGGGGAAGAAAAAUUACUUUAAAGUACUAUGAUAUACUGACAAGAAAUUCAGACUAAAAUUGAGAUGUUGUGUGACCAAUGCAGGAAUACCUGCUCGACUUCCAAUACCCUGACAGCGCGCUGAAAAAUCAAGUGUUUCCCUAACAGUCAUCUCAGGGAUAUGUAGAUCAUAUUGGUUUGUAUAAGCAGAGGUUUUCUGGGGCACAAACUCUUCAAGUUUGUACCCAUUGUAAGAGAUUUCCCCGGUAAUCUGUCGAGAGAAAGGCAUACAGGCAAAGUUAUGAAAAGGAUAUGGAUUUUAAUACAAUAGCUCUGGAUUAUAAUCAAUGUAGAACUCAAAAUCUCAUUUAGAGGUGUAUUAUGCACUUAAGUUCAAACUUUGGCACACUGAAUGUGGGUGCUUAAAAUCUCAGUUUUUCCUUUUCCAAAGGUUUCAGCAGAACAACUGAUCACAAGUAUAUGGAGGUAAUAGUGAAUGCAGUAGCAUAGAAUGAGAAGAACUUUGGAAUAUAUGUGAAUUGUGAAAAAGCAACAUUUAGUAACUACUAUUAGAAAUUAAAUAUCAUUAACCUGUUACUAGAGAGAGAUCAAAUUAUCCAAGAGAAAAGUUCCAAACCAUGAUUAAGUGAAACCUAAAUUCAGAUUAAGUAAAUCACUUGAAUACAGUAUAUAGUGUGGAGCUAGGAAGUCUAUUCAAGGCGUGUAGAACACCUGCACUAUAUGUGAAUGAAGAAAUAGUGACACAAUAGAAUCCAGAAAGCUUUCAUAUUCAUUACAAGAUUAGAACAAGUACCCUUUUGGAUUAUUCUUUCUUUAUUGAUAGCUAUUCGAUUCACAAUACUUUUUUCUAUUAGAUUUUACAAUGUGCUAUACUAGAUGAAUGAAUAACAAAGUGAGGUACCUUUAGAGAUUUGUCUAGGUUUCCAGAAAGUGCUUUCAAGAAAGAGGUCUUCCCACAUCCUGGAGGACCAAGCAGUAAAGUCAUUCUGCAUAAAAAUAGAAAUAAAAAUAAAUAAAAGAGGUAAGCAAUUCGAUUACCUGAAUUAUCCUAGCUAACCUUGAUGAAAAGGUUUUUUUUAAUUAUAUAAAAACUAUUUUGCAUCCCGUUUAAGCAUGUCAUUUUACCACUGCAAUGAUCUACUUGAGAAAAAUGAUGGACAAUAAUGUUAGUGUUAAAAUUGCAUAACUCCUAGUUACCUGAUGACACAAUUUAAUAGGAUUCCAACCUUGAAAUCUCGAACAAUAUGUGAAGUAUUAUAUUGAAAAAGUUCAAUCAACAAACUUUCCAUAAUUCUAUUUCUAUGAGGUACAUUAAACCUAGUGUUCCAACUAAUAACUCAAACAAUUGUUCUUUAUUUUCACUUAAUAAAUGGCAAGGAUGAACUAAAUAAUCGUACAAUUCCGAUGUAUCCUAUGAUAACUAAAGCAAUUUUUUAAUUUACGAUGGCCUAUUAUAAAAGCUUAAAUAGAUUCAAUCACCAGAAAAGUUUGGAAUCUCCGGACUGUACAAUAUUAACAUACCUAUUGACUUUAAAGAUAAAAUAUUAAUGGUCAUAAGAGACAGAUAUGUUCCUGCUAUAAGACGCUAAAUAGCCAAGAAACAAUUUAUCCAUAAUUGGCAUAAGGAUGUUGAGGCUUCAAGUGAGUAGCAAGACAAGAAAUGACAGAACCAGAAAUAAAUCUAUUCUUGUUUUAGAUAGAAAAGAGAAGUGAAUACAUUCUUGACUCUUGAGAAGUUGGAUAAAUACUAACAAUCCACAAGAUAAUAAAAGUACUAUAUGAUUUGGUUAAAAACAAAGAUUAAUGAGUUGAUUCUUGCACUUCUACAAUAUUACCAAAAGGGACUGUAGAAGGCAGUAGAAACAGACAGUCGGCACAAAAAUACAAAUAAGUAGUUCCUGCAUAAUGCAUGCUAACAAUUUGAAAUAUUUCUUUCAGAUAAUAUAUGAAUAAGUAUUAUGUGGUAAAUAAAAAAAAAGGCAGUCUCAAAUAGUUGAAGUAAAGCUUUGCUAGUUCCGGAAAGUUAGAAGGAAUUGUUAUUGGCAUAAAUCUCUGUUGAGUUAAAUUGCAUAAAAUUAACAUUGAUGAUGUUCUGUUGCUAUCUUCCAGGCUUAAUGAUACUAACAAUUUGAAAUAUUUCUUUCAGAUAAUAUAUGAAAAAGGAGUAUAUGGUAAAUAAAAAAAAAGGCAGUUUCAAAUAGUUGAAGUAAAUAUUUGCUAGUUCCGGAAAGUUAGAAGGAAUUGUUAUUGGCAUAAAUCUCUGUUGAGUUAAAUUGCGUAAAAUUAACAUUGAUGAAGUUCUGUUGCUACCUUCCAGGCUUAAUGAUACCACUGACAUUAUUAAUGAUGUUUAUCUUGGCCUCUUUUGACUUGAAUCCAGUAAGCUUGGUAAUGUCCUGUUAAAGAAUUUCACAAGUAAAUUUAAAAGUCUAUCUAAUUAAUCUUGACAGUCCAAAUUACACAUUAAAUACUUUGAAUUAAUGGUAAACCUAUAAAUUUACUUCAAGAAAAAGUAAGUUACUUACAGAAAUCAUGCUUUGGAGAGAAUUCCAUAGAGUAGGGAGGGGCUUGCCAUGAACUACCUCACACUCUGCUUGCACGUGCAUAUUUUUAUAUCUCACCUCAACAGUGGGUAACUUUACACCAACUCUACAAGAAUCAUUUGAAACUUUAACCCAAUUAAUCACUCAUUCAUGCUUAAAAAGUUAAACUGAUAAAGAACUAAUAUGCACAGAGAAUGAAGAGGAAGAAGGAAAAAUCAGCAGAGGGUCAAAUACAUCAGCAGAAAAACUAAGACUAUUAAAUAUAUCCAUAAUUGUGUGUUUGAGCAGUGCUGUGCACCAAAUGUUCAGCAUAUCCAUAUUGGUAUUAUGUACCAUUUUUGCUUUCUUAAUUUUUGCUAUCUACAUUUAUGUAUAUUUAGAGAGAAAAAAAAUUGCUUACUUGUCUAUUCGUUUUCUAAGUUUGUGCAACAAACGAAGGUUGUCGUUCUCAAUGUGCUUGAUGAGCUUCUCAAUGAACAAAUGCCUUUCUAAAGAACCAAGCUUAGUAACAUCAAUUAAUCGCUUCCCUUUAGCAUCAACUCUAUCUCCUUCAUCUUCAUCAUCAUCAUCAUCAAUUAGUGAUGACCUCAAACGUUCAAAAGUAGGCAAUCUAUUAAUUUCAGCCCAUUGUUUCACAAAUUCAACAUCAGCAUUAUCCUUCAAAGAACUUAAAUUUGAAUUGCUUCGGAAACUGGAGGUAUGAUGCCGGAAAGAUGAUCUCAAACUUCUUCCUACCUCUGAGAGCUCUGUUCUCAGUGACUGUAUUUCAUCUGCACCAACUAACUGAGCCAUAUUGAACAACCUUGCAGAGCUUCAAACCGGCACUGGUAGGAAGAGAGACAUAAAAGUUAUAUACAUGUGUGCAUAUAUAUAUAUAACAUAUAUAUAUAUAUAUAAUAUGUAUAUAACAAAGUCUUCUCCGUGAUUAAGACAACAAAAUAUGAUUAGGUAAGGGAAUGCAUCAUCUUACAUUUUUUGUAUAUUAAAGUUAAAAAUGAAAGCAGGAAUACACCGUGCUCUAGGACAUCAAACCUCUAUCUGAGUAAGUGAUUGUGUACGAGAGAAACAAAGAGAGAUACAUGUUUUAUCUAUCAGCUAACAAUUAAUUAAAGCCUCUUCCCAAACGUGGGAGGGGGAAAAUAGAAAAGGGUGUAAUUAAGAAUCUUACUAGCUAAAGUUACAAAGACAGACUAGUUGACUUCUAUUUAUAUAAAGUAACAAUGACUUUCCUGUGAAGAAAUUGUCUUCCUUUUUCUCCCAUCAUCAGCAUUGAAAAUUUAAUCCAAAAUGAAUUAUUUAGGGCCUAAAUCACAGCUUAAGAUCUACCAUUAGUCUGCUGCACAAUCUAGCACUGUUAACAAUUAACUUGAUCUUCAAGUAUAAAAUAUUAUAAGCUUAUUUUUGUUUUUGUUUUCUUUUUUCUAUUAUAUCUAAUGGGAAUUGAGGGCUACCAAAUAGAAGAAUUUUAUUUUACUAGAACAUCCCUGGUUAAAUAUUAGAAAGCAUAUAUGAUGUAUUCCAUAUUUUUUUUAAAUCUUACAAACAACCCUAAUUUUUUCAAAUGGAUAACUAAUUUAGGCACAAGAAGUAAGUAAUCCCAUAAAAGUAUUAUAGAUUUGGAGUUACAAAGUUAGUUAAGGCGAUAACCUUGUCAUAUAUCAAUUUUAACAGAAAUAUUUGUAGCACGUAACAUAUCAGGAUUGGGAUACAUUAUUAUCUUCUCUCUAUUCUUUAAAUAUAAAACUAUUAUCAUUAUACUCCAGAUCAUAACAGGUACCAUGUGAUCUUCUCUUGCACAGAAGCUAGAUUUACUGUAUGUAUAGAAGCCAGAUAAAAAUAAGAGGCUUGGAUACUUUCAUUGCAAAAAGAAAAAAAUUGUCAUCAUCUAAUUGUGUCUAUAUAGAUAAAGAUAAACUAAUUAACUAAGAUACUUUAGCUAUAUAUUCUGUAAGUUGAGUGAUCAUUCAUUUAGCCAAAAUCCAAGUACACCACCAUGUCAAUUGCCAUGAGAAAUGCAGUUAAAAAGUGAUGAUUUUGUCGUAAUUUGCAAGAAUUUAAAAGAGUAUACCAAAUUUGGAUAGGAAAUUAAAGAGCAUCAGUUAUUUCGUUGGCAAGACAAUUAUGUAAUCCCUUGGUAUUUUUAUAUGCUAUUAUUAAAUCAAAUAGCAUAGUGAAGCCUCUAAGUCAGAGCCUGAGUCAUUUUUUAUUAUUAUUUUUUUCUAUUGUUUAUUUGUCAGCUUGUCAUAACUGUCAAGUACUUCAACAUUUUGUUCCAUGUGUGGACAGAAUCAAUAGAAAUGCAGUAAAAAUAUUUUAUGGUCAACCUACAUAAGUAUAAAUUAAACAAAAUAAGAUCAACCCAACCCACCUGUUAGGACUUCCCGUUAGUACAUCAUAUCAAACUGCUGUUUGAUAUGAUUUUCAGUGCUUUCUAUGACUAAUCGUAAAGGCAAGACUAGUAUGAUGGUUAUUUGAUGUGGCAAAAAUACAGAAAAUAACUGUGUUUUUAACCUGUUAAUCGAAAUAGAUGAUUUCAAGAAGAAAGCACAAUUCCUUGCACAAAAAAGUUUUACAACUUUUUAAAUGUUACACCUAACAUAAGACCUGCAGCAUGGCUUUUUAGGCAAUCUAGAAUAAACAAAGGCCUUCCUCAUGCACUACAGGAAAUGAGGUGCAUAUUACUAAGCCGCCCCACCAAGAACAUUUCUGAAAUCAUAUAUAAAUAAUGAGUUACAUAAUUAAAUUUUGCAGCAUGCACACUAACAAAAACGUUCCAAACUAAAUUUUGCUGCAUGUAGACUCAUGGAAUGCAUCCACAAGCAUGGUUGCAGGACUUCCAUAGUUCCAUUAGAUGCACCCUCACAAGCAUGGUUGCAAAAUAAGUAUUUGCAUAAAGAGACAAGUUGCCAGGUAUAUAUAAUAUAGUUGCCAGGUAUAUAUAAUAUAGUUGCCUCGUGUGACUGAUACUACAGUAUGUCUGAGGAGCUAAAACCCAUACCAGAAUUACACUAGUCCCUGAAAUAACUUCAUCGCAGCUCCCCCAUACAUCAAAUUUAAGGACAAUGUCUAAUUGUGUGAUAUAUAUUACUGUACUUUAUCCUAUCAAGAAAAAAAAGGAUAACGUAUAAUAAUGUAUACACAGUACUACAGAAGUAUCCAAGAAACUAGAAUAAACAAUUUAUUGAUUAAAAAUAAUACAUUUACAAUAUGUAUAUGAUCAAUCUUGGCUGUGGUUAUAAAAUUGGACACCCUCUUUGCUAUAAGCCCUUUUGAGUGAGUCCACCCCUCGAGGUGGGGGCAUGACCCCCUAAGUAUUUUGUUUAUUUUUCAUAUUAAAAAUUCAUCUAGACUAACCAAAACCAGCAAAACAACUAAUGCUAAGCAAAAAACAAGAAAUCCAUGCCUUCUAAUAUUUUAAACAAUAGAUUACUAAUAAAAUUCUUAAGUAUAAAUCACUUUCCCCAACUCACUGCAUCCCUUUAAAAGUAAGGAACAUUGUCCCUAUGUUAUAUAAAAAGAAGCUUCUUGGAAUUCCAUGUUUGAAUCCGGAUUUUGGGGAUACCGUGAUUACUGAACUCAAAUGACAUGCAAAUUCCAAAUGAACAAAACAACAAAAUUAGAGCAUGACAGUUCAUUCAUAAUAUAAAAAGCCAUUAAUAUCCAGAGGCAUGUAACCAUAAUUGUCUUCUUAUGAUAAUUUAAAAGGUAUGUGUUUAUCAAAUAUGUUCAAAACUGAAACAUCGUCAUUAUUCAGUAGUUUAAUGCACCUACUGAUAUCCCCAUAAGUAGUCAAAAAGAGCUCCAAAAAUAUAAAUAUUUAAAGACUAACAAAUAUUUUUCUUACGGAAAAUUUUUGUAUGACGCUUGUUGCGAGUAAACACAUUAAUCAAUUACCUAUGUAUCGGUAUUAAUUUAUAGUCGCAACAAGAACUGAUAUGUCUUUAUCGCAAUAUAUAGAAGUACUCAUUUCUCAAUAAUUGAUAUGUACCUUGUGUUUAAAACUAGUUGAUUGAACUCUACAGCUCUCCCAAGUAAGUAGUAACCUUGCAUGAUCCACAACACGUUAGCAGUUAGCCCACCAUAUUGAAUUUGUCAGCAGCAUGCCACACAUGUCCCCCAUAAUACAAAUAAAACAAUAUCUUCUUGUACGAUUCACACUCACCAAAAUCCUCCUUAUCUAAUUGUUCAAAGAUAACCCAAAUUAGAAAAUGCCUCUUUAUCCAGAAUUUGCUGAUCAAUUGGCACCCCAAUAAGCAAAACCCCCUUGGUAUAUCAAACAUUAAGACCUUGAAGCCAUGCCAGCCCUCAUUUUCCCCUACAUUUACAUCCGAGUUGACAAAGAUCUGAAUUUUUGUGCUCCAAACCAACCACAACACUAGUAGCCCCUUAAUAAUUCUGGUAGUCGCAAACAUUAAUCUAUUAGGUUCUUUAUAUCUGUGGCUCAUCAAAAUUAAUGUUACUUAGCCACUUCAGACUAUGCUGCUUUAAGACUGACUUGCAUUUGGAGAUAUUAUCAGUCAGUCAUUUCUUCAUACAGGGAGUCUACAGAAAUGCAUUUGGUAUCAGAUCAUAUGGGUGAAGUUCAAUUUUUUCCAUAAUUUAAAGAAUGUUGAAACAAACCCAGAAAUUAUUUACAAACGAAAAUCAAACAACUUAACCACAAGCCGCUAAAAAGAAUGAUUUGGACAUGGUUAGUUAUAAUAUCCAACGGUUUCCAUGUGUACAAAUUAGAGGUUUCAAAGGUCUUUUCAGCAUCAAACAUCACCAUGUUUUCAAAGACUGCUUCUUUCAAAUUAAAAAUAUAGUAAAAAAACUGACGGACACUAUUUUCUGGACAUGGAAAGAUGACUCGGAUGCAAUAAGGCAUUCAAAGUAAGGGCGACUCAUGCAAGUCAUAAGUAUUUCAACUCAUGCAAGUCAUUUAAUUAAUCUUGUCAAUAUACUCAAUACUAAUAAUAACUCAUAUAUAUUAAUACUACCUCCAUUCCAUUAAUCUUUUUAAUUUUAUAUCUAUAAAUUAAGAAAAUCAUUUAAUAUUAUCAUUUAGAAAUUAAAAUUUAUAUAAAAUUUUAUCAUUACUCCUUUAUGAGAAGUUAAAAAUUAUUAAUAUAAGGGAGAAUAUUUAUUGCGAUAAUGAGACAAGUUAGGGGUGAUAUAGAAAAAUAAAUAAUUUAUUCUUUUAAAAAAUUAUAAACGACAAAUAAAAUAAAAUAAUUUAAAAAAAAAAAAUUGAAUGAAAACAGUAGUGUUUAAGGUGUUAACUCAUUUAACCAUUUAGUAGACAAAUUAAAAUUUUAAAAUAAAAAUAUAUAACGUUUUUCACAAGCUAAUGGCUGAGCCUUACUCAAAUAACCACCGGAAGCAAGAAAAUUGAAAUUGAAUCUUCGCUAGUAAAAUCCAGGGACUGUAAAGCACCUCGGCAACCAGGCUUGCUAUUUAUUCAUUACAAUAAUAUAUAUUUAACAAAGUAUAAGAUAAUAUGCUUAAAAAUAAAUAAAAAUUCAAUAUUUAAAUAAAUUAUAACUCCAUAUCAUAUUUAUUUUUUAAUUAGUUUAAAUAAACAUGUUAAUCAUGUUAAACGUCUGAUAUAUUUAAAUCUUGUAUUAAACGUGUCAAUUUAUUUAUGAUACAAAAAUUAUUUAUACUUAAUACUAUCUCUCUUAUUUUAUGUCUUUCGUGUUAGCAUGUAAUUCAAAUCGAUAUAUAUGAUAAGCAACCGAUUGUGGGGCUGAGUUCUUUAAAUGUACGGAGUUCUUAAUGAAACAAAAAAUAAUAUAUAUAUAUAUAUAUAUAUAUAUAUAUUGUUAUAAAAUUAUAAUAUAUAUAUUUAUGGAUGUCUAAAAUUAUAUUUAAUUAUAAUAAUCUUUGAUAUUUUGAAACUCCCAAGUUCAUUAAGUAACUCCCAUGUUCAUUAAGUUAAAACUCAUGAUUUUUGAGUUUUGAAACUUCCAAGUCCAUAUAUCUUUAAAUAAGAGCAUUGUAAAAGAGAAUGGAAGAUGGAUAUAUGAAAAUAUUAUGAGACAUGUCUCUUUUUUCUAAUCAUUGUCUCCUUUCUCUAAUCAUUUUAUUCUUAAUUUUAGUAAUCUUUUAUAACACGUUAUCAGCACGAAUUGCUUCUCACAAUCGUCUUGAAGAUAAUCAUAUUUGAUUUGAAGGAGAAGGUAUAUUUAUCUAUUAUAUAUAUAUAUAUGGAUACGCAAAAAAAAUUUUAGUAUAACAUACUGCAUGUUAUUCCAUUCAUAAUCUAUUAUUAGAGUUUGUUGUUCUUGGUUCUAGCAUGCUAAUGACUGUUAUACUCAUAUGUAAGUCAUCAUCACACCACCCUCAAAUUGUCUUGUUAUACGGUAAAAUAUCUAACCUCAAUUAUUGUGCAGUGUUUAUUUUUAUAAAAGUGUAUUGUAAUUUUGCAUUCCUUCCAAUCUAAAUAAAUCAAAAGGGAUCCGAUAAAAUACAUGAUGAUUAUAUUUUUAGAUAUUUUCAUAUCUCGGCAGAUAACAACUAGAAGAUAUAAUCUUCAAAAGGGUACUUUCUAGUUUCCGUACUAAAACAAUCUUUAAAAAAAAUUGAUAUAUUUCUAAUGAUUUUUGAUAUAUUUCCUUUUGGCAUGCAUGAUAGCAUAUUUGAUAUAUUUCUAAUAAUUUUUGAUAUAUUUUCUUUUGGCAUGCAUGGUAGCAUAUUUGAUAUAUUUCUAAUGACCUUUUGAUAAAUUUUUGUAUGAAGUUACAAUGACAAAUAUGCUUAAUAGUAUUGGUUUAUUAUUUUUAGUGGACAAAUUUAGUUUCGUGUUUUAUUAUUUGAUGGGGAAUAUAUUUAGUUAUUUAAUAUUCAAAUCUUAUAAAUUUGAAUUUGUUGCCCUUGAUUUAUAUCGAGCAAGAAUUAUUUGUAAUGGAAUUUUGAUGCUGAGAUUCAUAUAAAGGCAAAGAACCUUGGAGAUAUAAUUAUAGUUGACAAUCAUGCAUUCCUGCAGGAUCAUGCAAAAUUAAUGAUUUUUAUUCGCUAUCAUCUCCAUGAAAAAUUAAAAAUUGAGUACAUUACAGUAAAAGACUCACUUGUCUUAUGAAAUGAUUUAAAGGAAAGAAUUUAAAGGCUCAUUAUAAUUGGUUGCACCUGAAGUUGCAAGCUUUUGAAAAGUGUUGAGUGAAAAACACUGAUGAAGACAUGUUAGAGAAAAUAUUUAUUAUAUUUCAUGCCUCGAAUAUGCUCCUGCAGUAGCAAUAUCGAGACUGUAAAUUUAUAAAAUAUUUCCUGAAGCGAUAAAGGAAACUAUGUUUCCAGAAGUGAAAUUAUGUAUUCUAGUAGCUGUACAAAAUAAUGAGUUUUUGUUGAAAAACCAACAAUCUCGCUCAACCGAUUCUAUUACAUUCCCUGAAGUGAAUGGAACCUCAUUUGAUAAUCAUAGAGAAAAUUAUGAUUGUGAUAGUGGACGUGAAAGGAACAAUCAAUAUAGAAAAGGAAUGUACGUGUCGUACUCCUAAACAUUUGGUAUAUAGAUUUGUACUGUAAGACCCCAACUUUUAUAAAUAAAGAUGAAUUUUCUAUAAUUAUCAUUUUUAAAUAUUAUGGAAUGAAUUUGAUAUAAUGUUAUAGUUGUGGGUAAUAUUUAAAAAUUUUGCAAAGUACAUAAGUUGUUUAUAAUAUUCGAUUGGUCGGGGAAUAUUCGUACGACGGCACAAUUAUUAGUGGACCCCACAACGAAAUUAUUGUCGAAUUGAGAAAACGACAAAAAUAUUUUUAUGAAAAUAACGGCGGAAGUUUUACCGUUAAUUGUUGAAACACCCAGUGUUAAAAGUACAGGAAUACGCGUGGCUGCAUAGUAGCACACGAUAUUGAUUAUUAAUGGUUACGUGAGAAGUCACUCAGUUUUGUUCAAUUAUUGCUUCAGUAAUUGUUAUUAUUUGCAAUAUUAACGAUGUCUAGAAGUUUUGCCAAGGAGAGGUUUGGUCACCUAAUUGCGCGCCAAUAUGGAGAAAUCCUUAUUGGAAAGCCCCCGCUUUCCUGGGAACUACCUGGUUGAUUAAUAAUGUGAAUAAUAAUAAUGAUGAUGAAGUUUUGUUUUAUUAGUAUUAUUAAUGUAAUAAAACAGAAAAUCUUUUUAUAUAAAACAAAAUACUUUUAUAAAUUUAUUCGUUUUAUUAGACAAUAAUUAGAAUAUAUUAUAUUUUAUUAUGCAUAGUAUUUGUAUAAUGCCUGCAUAGUGUUUACAUAGUAAAAUCUUUUUAAAAGUUAUUCGUUUUAUUAGAUUAUAAAUAGAAUAUAUUAUAUUUUAUUGUAAACCAAUCUAGACCGUCCGUUUAAAGUAAAUCGAUCUGGACCGUUCAUGGAUUGGUUACUAUUCAGUCCAUUCUUCUAUAAAUAGAAGCUCAUUCCUUCAUUAUUUCUUACGAAUUCACUGAAACUCUAGAGAGAGAAACUGUAGAGAGAAUUAUUCUUCUAUCUUGAGCGUAUUUCUUUAGCGUUUAAGAAAGCUUUGAGCGUAGUGCAAGUUUCUUCAAGUAUAUCCCCGCCCUACCGUCGGAGUACUCUUCUUUAUAAGGUAAGGGGUAUUAUUUUUUUUAUAUUCAUGAAGAGAACUUCUGUUAUUCCAUUCUUUAUUAUUCUGUUGGAAUAACCUGUAUACGCGGUCUACCCUAUACUUGGUGAUUUCUGUUGUUAUUCCAUUCUUUAUUAUUCUGUUGGAACAUCCUGUCUGUGCGUUUUACGCCGGACCUGGUUCCGUCUUUAUUAUUCUGUUGGAAUAUCCUGUCUGUGCGUUUUACGCCGGACCUGAUUCCGUUAUUUAUUAUUCUGUUGGAAUAACCUGUCUAUGCGAAGUACCGCAUGCAUGGUGAUUUCUGUUGUUAUUCCAUUCUUUAUUAUUCUUUUGGAAUAUCUUGUCGGUGCGUAUUACGCCUAACCUGGUUCUGUUAUUUAUUAUUCUAUUGGAAUAACAUGUCCAUGCGAAGUACCGCAUGUAUAGUGAUUUUUUUUGUUAUUCCAUUCUUUAUUAUACUCAGUUGAUUAAAAUUUUGACUUUUAUACUCCAUGAAAUUAGUGAAAUAUCCUUGAUAUUUGCGCUUCAUCCAGUAUCAUUUCAUGGAAAUAUUCUUCUGAGCAUUCUUGAAUUUUACUCUACAAAGAAGUAUCAUGUUGACAAUUUGGACGUUAUUAGUUCCUGNNNNNNNNNNNNNNNNNNNNNNNNNNNNNNNNNNNNNNNNNNNNNNNNNNNNNNNNNNNNNNNNNNNNNNNNNNNNNNNNNNNNNNNNNNNNNNNNNNNNUGUCUAUUGUAUUUUAUCAGUUUAACAUUGUUGAAGACUAAUGAUAAUUUAUUCUGCAUUAUCUUAGUCAUAAUAUUUCUUACUGGGCUAGUUGAGCUCACCCUUUCUUUCACUGUUCUCUUCAGGAAAUGAGAACGUAGCCGGGACUAGUCGGGGAACGGAGUGACGGUCCAGAUGAUAGUAUUAGUAGUCCUCACUAUUCUGUUAAAUAGUGUGUUAAUAAAUGUAAUGAGGACUUAUUCUGAGAGUGGAUAUUGUCUAGAAGAUAAUGUUUGUAUUAAAACUCACAGCUCUCUUGUUGUAUAUUUAAGAUUGUAUUUGUCCUCAGAAUAGGUGAUGUAUACCUAUUUUGGGGGCGUCUCAUGUACCAAGACUCCAUAAAAGAAAAGAAAAUGGAAUUGAAAUAAACUUUAUUGUUCAUAAUGAUCCUGAAGAUCCUAUGAAUUAUUUUGACUUUUCAAAUGGAGUAGAUAUAACUAAUUUUGAUAUCUAUGGUUUCCUUGAUGAUUCUUUAUAUUCUUUUGAGUCAAACAAGAAAUUUGCUCAGCUUUAAAGAUAUACGUUAUAAUGGUCAUCCAUUGAAGAACCAGAAGAUUCUUUAAUUUAAGGAAUUCUCAUGUGCUGCUUGUCCUCAAGGCAAAUUGGUCAUUAGACCUUCACCAGCUAAAAUUGGGAUUGAAUCUCCAAAGUUUCUUGAACGUAUUCAAGGAGAUAUUUGUGGGCCUAUUCACCCAUCAAGUUGACCAUUUAAAUAUUUUAUGGUUUUAAUAGAUGCAUCUACAAGAUAGUCACAUGUGUGCUUAUUAUCAACUCGCAACCUGGCGUUUGUGAGAUUAUUUGCUCAAAUUAUUAGAUUACGAGCACAAUUUUCGGAUAAUACAAUCAAGACUAUUCGUCAUGACAAUGCUGGUGAAUUUACAUCCCAAACAUUUAAUGAUUAUUGCAUGUCACUUGGGAUAAAUAAUGAACAUUUUGUUGCCCAUGUUCAUACUCAGAAUGGUCUUGCUGAAUCAUUUAUUAAACACCUCCAGUUAAUUGCAAGACCAUUGCUCAUGAGAACAAAACUUUCUGUCUCUAUUUGGGGGCAUGCUAUAAUAUUGAAGGCAGUGAAGAAUUUCUUUAUAUUACUUCAAUAGUAUCGGGCCAAAAGCUCAUAUUAGAAAAGCUGUAUAUUUUCUCUUCUGGGUUAUAUUAUACUAAAAUGAGAAUGGUUGAAACAAAUGUUGUAAUAUACCAGAAGUGUACAAUACACCAGAAAUGUUCGGAUCCAAAUAUUUUUAUGAUUUGGAAUAAUCGUAUUGAUCAUCCAGAAUCGAUAAUGUUGCGUUGAAUUAUUGAAAACUCCCAUGAACAUCCUGUAAGGAACCAGAAGAUUCCUUUACUUGUUGAUUAUAUCAAAGUAAAUUACCAAUACAUGCUUGGGGUCAUGCUAUUCAUAAUCUCAAUAAGUGAUAUUUUUAAGGUAUAAUUUGAGGAUUGUCAUUUUAAUAAAACAGUCUUCCCACCAUUAGGGGGAGAAAAGUCAUUGCCUGAAGCACGACGUUAGAUCGUUGCCUGAAGCACGACUGGAGAUUAAUUGGAAUGUUUCGUUGCCUAAAGCACGAUGUGAGAUCGUUUCCUGAAGCACGAUGGGAGAUUAAUUGAAAUGUUUCAACGUUAUUUAAUCCUGAUUCUCAUACAAAUCAAUAUGAACUAGAAGUUCAAAGGAUUAUUCAUUUGCAAUGAAUUACAAAUCAAUUAACAGAAUUAUUCACCGAUAAUAAGAAAAGUGUGAUAUCUCACAUUUUAGUUGAUAAUACUCUAGCAGAGAUUGAAGUCCUUGUAGGACAAUCAGUUAAUACAACAGCAAACUGAAACCACACCUAGAGCGUGGAAGAUAUAUCGGUGUUAAAAAAUAAAAUUUCCUAGAAGAAGAAAGUACAAGAAAAACAAGUUGCAGCCUAUAAAGAGGUUAUACCCAUGAAACAGGUUACAAAAAUUAUUGAUCUAUCCAAAACUUAUGAAAAAAAAUCUCUUGUAAAUAAAACUCUUGAAGAGUUAUCUCCUAAAGAGGAUGAGUUAUCCCCUGAAGAGGAUCAGGUACCUGAAAAUAACGAGAUCUCGAUACAUUAUGUUUAUACAGGAGACAGAUAUAUUGGAUAGAAAUAAAAUUAUUGUCGACAACAUAUUUUUAUAUAAAGUUGUUCUUGAUAUUACCAGAAGUAAUGAUCAUGAAUAUGAAUUACAAAUUAUUGAUGAAUGUUCAACGUAAAAAUGUUUGGCCAAUGUGGAAAGAGGCGAUUCAAGUAUAACUAAAUUCACAAAGUAAGCGUGAAGUUUUUGGACCUGUAGUCCGAACACCUGAAGGUGUAAUGCCUGUUGGAUACAAAUGAGUAUUUGUACGAAAUAAGAAAAAUGAAAUUAUAUGGUACAAAGCGUGACUUGUAGCACAAGGUUUCUCGCAGAGACGUAGUAUUAAUUAUGAAGAAACAUAUGCUCCUGUAAUGGACACAAUUAUAUUCAGAUUUUUAAUUAGCUUGGUAGCAAAUGAAAAUUUUGGAUAUGCGAUUAAUGAAUGUUGUUACAACAUAUCUGUAUGGAUCAUUAGAUAAUGAUCAUAUAUACAUGAAAAUCCCUGAAUGAUAUAAAAUGCCUGAAGCAUAUAAUUGUAUGGAUCAUUAGAUAAUGAUCAUAUAUACAUGAAAAUCCCUGAAGGAUAUAAAAUUUCUGAAGCAUAUAAUUCUAUAUCUCGAAGUAUGUAUUUUAAGCUAGAAAGAUCUUUAUAUGGGUUAAAGCAAUCCAGAUGGAUAUUGUGGUAUAAUCGCCUGAGUAGAUAUCUUUUGAAAGAAGGAUUUGAGAAUAAUUCAAUUUGUGCAUGUAUUUUUAUCAAAAGAUCAUAAUAUGGAUUUGCUAUUAUUACUGUAUUUAUUGAUGAAAGAUCUUUCUCCAGAAGAGUCGAUAAAAACAACAAAUUUGAGAUGAAAGAUAUUGGUAAGACAAAUUUUUGUCUUGACCUACAAAUUGAGCUAUGGAAUUCUUGUUCAUCAAUCAACAUACAUAGAAAAAGUCUUGAAGUAAACUUUACAUGGAUAAUGUUAAUCCUUUAAGUACUUCAAUGAUAGAUUGGUCACUUGAUAUCAAGAAAGAUCUGUUUUGACCACACAAAAAUAAUGAAGAAAUUCUUGGUCCUAAAGUACCAUAUCUUUGUACAAUUGGUGCUUUGAUGUAUAUUGCAAAAUUUCUCAUGAUCUGAUAUAGCAUUUGCAGUUAACUUACAAGCAAUAUGGAUCAAAACCACAGUUAGUUGGAUCUGCUGAUGCAGAAAUUAUCACAAUUUAUGAAGUAAGUUGUGAAUGUAUUUAGUUGAGAUCAGUAAUUCAACAUAUUUGUGUGAACUGUGGAUUAUCAUCAAUUAUAAAUAGUCCAACGAUAUUAUAUGAAGAUAAUGUCGCUUGUAUCACUCAAAUUAGAGGAUGCUAUAUCAUGGGUGAUAGAACCAAGCAUAUUGCAGCAAAAUUAUUUUAUACACAUGAGCCCCAGAAGAAUGGCGAUAUUGAUAUCAAGCAUAUAUGAUCAUGUGAUAAUUUGGUUGAUAGAUUCAUUAAGUCCUUACCAACUAUGAUUUUGAAAAAGAUGGUGCACAAUAUUGGCAUGCUUCGACUUAAUGAUAUUUUUACCAUGAACAAUGAAAAUUCUAUGUACUUAUGAAGGGGAGUAAAAAGGAUAUGUGUUGAUUGUACUCUUUUUCCUUCGCUAAGAUUUUUUUUCACUGGGUUUUCCUUUAUAAGGUCUUAAUGAGACAAUCCCAAGGCACUAGAAGUUAUACAAGAAUAUUGUACUCUUUUCUUUAGCCAAAAAUUUUCCCACUGAGUUUUUAUUUGGUAAGAUUUUUAACGAGGCAUAUUCUUAGAAAAUUACUAUAACAUAUUCUUAGAAAAUUACUAUAAAAGGACUCCAUCCAUUCUAUAUGAAGACAAUGCUGCAUGUAUAGCUCAAUUAAAGGGAGGAUACAUCACAUAUUCGAUCAAAAGAUAAUCUAGCAGUUUUGUUCAGUAAAGCAUUACCAACUACAAUGUUUGAAGGAUUGCGUCACAAUAAUGAAAUGUGACAGCUGAAGGACUUAAAGAUACAUUCAUGAGGGGGGGAGCUAAUACGCGCUGCACUCUUUUUCCCUUAACCAAGGUUUUUUCCCAUUGAGUUUUUUCUGGUAAGGUUUUUAAUGAGACAACUUUCUAUGUGUAUGGCUAUACAAUAGACAUCCAAGGGGGAGUGUUAUAAAAUUAUAACAUAUAUAUUUAUGGAUGUCUAGAUUUAUAUUUAAUUGUAAUGAUCUUUGGUAUUUUGAAACUCCCAAGUUCAUUAAGUUACUCCCAUGUUCAUUAAGUUUUAAACUAAUGACUUUUGAGUUUUGAAACUUUCAAGUCCAUAUAUUUAUAAAUAAGAGCAUUGUAAAAGAGAAUGGAAGAUGGAUAUAUAAAAAUAUUAUGAGACAUGUCUCUUUUCUCUAAUCAUUGUCUCUUUUCUCUAAUCAUUUUAUUUUUAAUUUUAGUAAUCUUUUAUAACAUAUAUAUAUAUAUAUAUAUAUAUAUAUAUAUAAAAGAAAUUGACAGCCAUUAUUUUUUUUUGAGAUAAUACAGUACAUAAGUGGGAGGAUAAUCUCUUCGUCUACGUGUUCAAAGGCGAAACCACAUAAGUAUAUUGUGGGGUCAACUGACCCCAUUGAAAAAAUAAUUACUUUAUAAUUUAAGGUAGAUUUAAAAAAUUUUAAGUAUUAUAUAUAAAUUGACCCCAUUAAAAUUUUAUACAAUACGGGGUCAAAUUGAAAAUUUAUAAUUUUAUCAAUCAAAUUUUAACCACAUAUGACUCGUAUCCUCUAAAUAUAUGUAUAUCUCUCUAUAACAUUUUAAACUAAAUAAUAAUCUAAUUUAUAUUAUUUUAAAAAAUAAUUAAUAAAUUAAUUACUAAUGAACAAUUGUUAUUAAAAAAUUUUAUUAUAAGUCAAUAUAGUGUAUACCAUAUUAUUACUCAUUAUAUUAUCAUUGUAAUAUAUUGUAUAUAUAUAUAUAUGUGUGUGUGUGUCUAAAAGUACAAAAGUAUUAAAAAAAAAUUCUCAAAAGCACUGCCUUCGAACCCCAGCCAAAUUAUUUAUAAAAAAUUUUAACCCCACUAAACAUUAUUUUUGACUUUACUACUGUACAUAUCAACAUUGUAUUGAACAUAAAAUUCACUUUUACUUGCAAUUCCAUGUUUUUGGACAUGGAUUGUCAGAUGACUCGGAUGCAACAAGGCAUUCAAAGUAGAAAUUACAAUAACGUCUUGUUAAACUAUAUCAUUGUGUCCACUGGUUAAUUAAUUAUUCAUAGAUUUGUAUUAAUUUUUAAACUAUAUCAUUGUGUCCACUGGUUAAAAAAAUAGAUAUAUUUUUGUCUUAAAAUAAAAGGACUUUAAAUAAAAAUAUUUAGUUAACCUAUUUUAUACUUCCCCUUGUACUAUUUUCUUUGUAGUUUACGGAUCAAGUAGUCCGUAUUCUUUGCCAGAGGAAGCAUUUUAGUUUCUGAAACUCGAAAUUGAUAAUCUUUUGAUAAUAAGUUGGUGGAACUGCUGAUUAUAUGUGCCAACAUAAUGACAUGCCUUACCUUUCAUUUUUUUUAAUCACCGUUAACAAAAACCAGAGAAAUACAGCAGACAAUAUUGAAUUGCAAAUUAAAUCUGAACCUGUACACAGCCAAUCCCCUCAGCUACCACCCCCCACCUCCCCACCACCCACCCAAAUAAAAUAAAAAAAUCUUAAAACAAAUGUUUUCAGUCACUUGCACACACAACAAUCAUCUUUACAUAGCUUUUGGGAUUUUGCCUAUACCAAAAAAAAUCAUGCACUGAAAGGAAAAAAGAAAGAAUAGGGGAUAAGGGCAAAGGAAAGCAAGUUCAAGAACGAACAAAAACGUUUCUCCUGCAGACACCAAUGCUCGGAACCUCUUCCCCCAAGGGGUUCCUCACCCAACUCACCCCUUUCGCUUCUUGACGUCCUUGCACAUAUAAGCUUAGUCUUGUAAAUUCCACAUAUUUACAAGGUUGAAAAUGUAGUAAGAAUUACCACUCAAUGGAUAUGAGGCUCGGGUCCUUUAGAUGAUAGCAUAUUUGGUUAUGUUGUCUUAGUUCCUUUUGCUCUCUGAUCUUGGAUCUGGAUUUUCACUUUUGUCAGUGUCAUAGUUCUCCCUCUGGGAUUCAAUGUCCAUGCUACCUGUUUGAGUUCUUCGAUGCCUUCGAUCCUAAAAAUAGACGAUCAAAAAAUCCAUGUCAAACUAUUUUUAACAUUUAUACCUAAGAGCUGUAAUUAAGGUUUUACAAAAGGGUUAUAGAAAGCGAGCUUGCAUUGUACGCACUUAGGGAAGUAACAUGAAGUUGAGAAAGUAAAAGAUGGAAAAAGGUUUACCACAUAUGAACAUAAAACCAACUAACUACACGAGCAAAAAAAAAAAUCUUUGAUCUUCCUUGUUAAGAUUAAAUCUUCUAAGUCACCAAGUAUGGACAAGUUGCUGAAGUCUCUACUGUCUGAGAGUAAUCAGUGAUGAAUGAUAGACCUUUUAUAUGUUUAUAUAGUUGUCAGUACAGAGGGAGCAGCUGCAACAUGAUAAAAAAAUAUUUCUAAAAAGCUUAUUUGACUAUCACCUAUAGCAGAAAAUCUCCGACAUUUCUCAUACUUGCCUCUUACCCCAAAAAAACCUCUCUCUCUCUCUCCCCUGGACUCUGGAGUGGUCAAGAUAUUACUAAAGUGAAGACCUCAUCAAAACCCUUGACUAAUGCUUCAAAAAAAAAUCCCUCAACUAUCCCAAAGUGAAUGGUGGAACAACCCAUUGUCUUCCACUAGUCCCAUCAUAGGACCAGGCUUAGUGGCUUUCUGGGUCCUGCUCUGACCCAGGUCAGAAUGAAUCAUGAAGGUGCAAAUAGUUCAUAGAAACUGUAACCGCAGGACAGAAGUUUUGGCUCUAUAAGUAUCUUUAAGGUAUAAAGUUGUCCUUUAUGAUUGAUGCAUUGGGAUAUUUUUAACUUUCGAGUACUAGUGUUUCACUAAAAGAUGUUAGUUGGAUCCUGUGCUUGCAUGGAAUUUUGAGAUAAUUUGGCAACUGGCAUUUAUGUGGCAUGAACACCAAGGCCUAAGCUACAUUCAUUAAAGAGAAAAACCUAGGCAAAUGGCAGACAUGAGAUACUAUAAAUUGAAUAUACUGAUCAAAAGCUAGAGUUAGCACUAGGGAGGUGAUGGUUUAAGAAACUGCAUAUCAAGUUUCUUUAUACUAAAAUUCAAAUUUCAUUGAUGCACAUGUACAGAGAAAACCAAACUGACCUCCCUUGGUAUGGGAUAUUCCUCUGAUUCAAGCAUACGAGUAACUUGGCUCAUCUUGGGCCUCUUGUCAGAAUCUGGAUCAACACACCGUAAAGCAGUUAAGAGGGCUCGCUUCAAUGCUCUUGUUGAUGGCCUCGUUUCAAUGUUUGGAUCCAUCACUUCCUCUGACCGCCUGCUUCCAACCAUCAUUUUUAGCCAAUCUACUAGAUUAACCUGCAAACAAGAUUACAUUCAUUAAUACUGCAUAACUCUGGAGUUAAAGCAUCCAUGAAUGUUGGAAAUAAGAAAAACCAAACCAAACUCAGAAAAAAGGGUUUCCACUAAAAAAUUAGUCUUUUAUUGAUCAAGAAACAUAAUAACUUGGCUUGGUAGCUUUAUUAAGAAAACACUAAUUAAAUGUACAGUUCCAUCCAAUAAUGAUGCAAACAAAAAUUAUCCAAAUGAAAACUUGUGUAAAGUGUAGAAUCAGAAUGGAUAGAUCAAUAGCAUAUAGCUAUAAAACUUUUGACAUGCAUGUACUUAUAAGAUGUCGGAACAAUUCCAUUUACUUUUCGAUCCAAAGUGUUGCUGGUAAGUAGCAGUGAUAAAAAUCUUUAACUUCGUUACAUGAUUACUUAGCUUUUACAUGAAGUCCGCAUUAAUGAAAAACUUUGCCAUCUGUAGAAUAAAUGAGAAAGGUGGGGGCAAAAAUGUAAACUACAAUUUCAAUCCAGAUUAAUUUCUCUUCAAAAAAUGAUGAUACUGCUCACACUAAAUCCGAACAAUGUUACUAUUCAGCUGUCGUCUAGUAGUGAAAAUUCAAACAAUAUCUUGUCUCAGAAUUCAAAAGGAUAUCAAAUUAUAUAAUAAUUGCUUACCUCUUGAGCAGGACGGCCAUAGUCUACAGGAUCUCUGCCUGUGAUUGCUUCUAGAAGCAAAACCCCGAAACUAUAAACAUCACUCUUUUCGUUCAAAAGGCCAGUAUUUGCAUAUUCAGGAGCCACAUACCUGUAUAAAUUGAAGGAAAUAAAUUGAAAAUGAAAUAUGAAUAUGCUUUUGGAUCAGUCUAACUUAAACAGGAAGUUCACAAUACCACCUUUUUGGCCACAAGAACAAAAAAAAACAUGAAAUAUUCAUAGAAACAAUACAAACAAUAUACUGACCCAAACGUUCCCAUGACCCGAGUUGUAAUGUGACUUUUUCCAGCACCAAGCAGCUUAGCAAGGCCAAAAUCAGAAACCUUGGCAUUGAAGUCAUCAUCAAUCAAUAUAUUGCUCGACUUUAUGUCUCUGUGCACCACUUUUGGCUCAAUUGCUUCAUGCAAGUAUGCAAGACUGCAAUUAAUGUAUCACAUGAGAUUUGUAAUGUCAAGAUAACGGUAGAGAUGUAUUGACUUACGUUUUAGCUGUGCCAAGAAGAACCUUCGUCCUGGCCUCCCAAGUAAGAUAGCCAUGCUGGCGCAUAGAUCCAUGAAGCCAUUGUUCUAAAUUCCCAUUAUUGACAUACUCGUAGACUAGCAUCCUGAUAUGGUUAGAAAAUAUGAAAUGGGAAUAGCUGUACAUGAUAUGUAAAAGCCUAAAAGGAAACCAUACACUGCCAGCAAUGUCAUCAUGCUACUAAUCAAAACUUUAAGAGCAUAACACAGUUAGUUAGCUUUAGGCUACAUAAAAUGAAUAUUUUUAAUCAAUUGUUUGGUUUUGUAAAGCAUGGCAGAUUCAUCCCUGAUAUAAAACAUUUUCAAAAUGAAAAUCAAACCUAUGAGUUCCUUCAAUGCAAUAUCCCAACAGUCUAACCAAAUUUUUGUGGCGCACAUGACCAAUAGCUUCAACCUCCACACUGAAUUCUUUCUCUGCUUGUCCCCUAAAAACAGGAACAAAAUUUAACCUAAGAUGAAUAAGGGGAAAAGAUAAAGCAAUGAACAAAGUUGUGAAGGAAAUCUAUUUUUAAACUUACAGGUUGUUGAAGAGCUUCUUAAUUGCCACUGGGCUCCCAUUAAUUAAAUGUCCCCUAUAAACAACACCAUACUCACCUUCACCAAGAACAUUGUCCUUUGAGAAUCGAUUUGUUGCAACUUCAAGAUCUCUUAAUGUAAACCAAUGACCCCAGCCCAAAUGAGAAAAUUCAGGCAGACCAGUUAAAGGAGAAGGGGCUGUUAUUGGAUGUGACGAAGAUGGUUUAUACACAGCAAAUGUACCAGAACUCCCUUCUUCUCCAGAUUGUGACCUGCAACCGUCUUUGUCCAGAUGGUCGAAAGAACCUAAUUGACUGCUGCUAUUAUCUCCAUUCUUCUUUUUUCCCAUUCCGAGAUGGACCAAAACUUUAUCUGAUUCUUUAUCACUUGAUUUGUCAUGAAUAGUGAGAAGAAUCCCUUCACGUGGAGCAAAUUCAUUUGUAGAAACUUGCUCCACUCGUACUUCCUUUAUUUCCUUUGAAACGGUUGGAAUUUGGCUAAGGGGAAUCUUUUCUGUUCUUUUCAAUUUCUUUUGUGAAGUAAGAUAGAAAGCUAAUGCCAGGAGGAUAACUACAAUAAACAAUCCCACAAUUAUCCCAAUAAUUUCCCAGACCUCGAGGCCAAAAAUAGCAGUUUUCUUGGAUAAUCCCCUGUUUAGAUCGGUAGACAUCUUUUGCACACAAUGGAGACCUACAGGGGUAACCCAAGUAACAUGAAAAUUGCAACUUUAUAUAUACAUUUGUGUUGAUACAGUUCUGUCAUUCAUGCAGAAAAUUCAGACUUUAUAGCCAUUUUUAGCAUUUUUCUUACUAACAUCAAUUCAUGAUGAUUCAAGUUUGUAAUUUGAAUCUUCAUUAAUGCUACAAACAUGAAUCACUUCAUUUCCAAGCUAACAAAAUUGGUAGAAAAGAGAUAAUCAAUCAUGUAGAAACAAAUUAAGAUAACUUAAACAAUGUGAUUGGCAAAAUCCAACUUCAUAAGAAAAAGGCAAACAACGUAACCAGAUCAAUAAUAAAAUUACCAUUUUUUAAACACAUUAACACAAGUUCUUCAUUAAAAUUCAAUGUUAAUUUUACUUAAACUAAUAGGCAAAAUAAUCAGCUUCACAAAAAAAAAACAUCCCCUUACCUUUUAAGAAAAGAUUCAAAACAGCAACUUUCAGAGCCCAGAUCUCAGAAAUCCCAUCAGCGGACCAUCUAUGUUAACCUAUGAAACAAACACCAUUAUAGAUCUCUCUAAUAAAAAAAAUUACCCAGUAAAAAUUUUCACAUCCAAAGACACCCAAAUCAGUCAAAUUCUAAGCCACCCUUGCUUAAAAAAAGCCACCUUCUAUAGAUUUUCGAUCUGGGUAUUCUCUGUAGUGGAAAAUGUGAGUCUGAAUCUAAGCUCAGAUGGAGCUUUCUUAACACCACCUUCUGCCCCCACUUCUUCUUCAAGAACCAUAUAGACAAGAAUGACAUCAAGAUGAAUACUGUAUUAACAUGGUGAGUUUUGAUACAUUAAAAAAUAAGGGGAAUGAAAUGGAAGGGAAAAUGGAGUUAUGAGUAGUUGGUGAGGGAAAUUUUGGCAGAAAAAAAUGCAAGGUACUCUUUUUCUUUUCUUGGGUUUCUUCUGAAUAUGACUGAUUAUCUGAAUUCAACAUUUGAUCUAAAAAACACCAGAAGUAAAAGAGCAAAUUAGUGAUGGUUAAGGCAUUGAAAAAUGGCAGCUUUUAGUUUUCAAGGCACAAAUGAACCGACUCCCUACCAGAAAGAAAGUAAUACUACUUUUUACCUUAUUGCCAGGCAGGAAACAGAGGACUAGUACUAAAAAGAAACACACUCCAUAAUGCUGAGAGCUAAUGCUUAAACUAGUCGAAUUGAACCUAAUUGAGAGUUGAGAGUUUUGCUAAGUAUAUUCGUAUUCACAUUUGACUCGAAUUAAAAUUGUAUUUAAAAAAUACUAUUUUUAUUUGACUCUUACUCAAAUUCAAUUCAAAUCAGAUCGAAUUAUAUUCAAACUAACUUUAAAUUCAAAAUCGAAUUCGAGUAAUUACAUUUAUAGUAGAUAUAAUUAUAAAUUAAACUUAUUAUUUUAUUUAGAAAUUAAAAAAUAUAUUCAUUAUUAUACAUUAUAAAUAUAAAAUUACAAUUAAAAAUAAAAUAAUAAUAAUUAAUUAUUCUAAUUUUAUUUAUUUUGUAUAUAUUAUAAGAGAAUAUAUCAAGUAUCUACUUGAAUAUGUAUCAAUCCAAUACGUAUCGAAUCACAAUUAAAAGUUUGAUUAAUUUAAAUUAUAAACGAGUCAAAUAUAAUUUUACUCAAAUUCUACUCAUAUUUUUAUUAAAAUUAUUUUUUGUGCUCAUAUUUGAAUUAUAUUACCAACUAUCCGAGUCUUGCUGUUAUUUUCCGUUUAGUUGGGAGGGAAGAGUAAAAUUACUCAGGGCUGGUAGCUUAUUUGACCCAGUUGAGUCUAAUUGAUCUAUCAAUUGGGCUUGUAAUCAAGCCCAAGCCUAAAGUUUAGAAUCCUUUAUUUUCAAUGGUCAAAAAUCAAUUUAAGCACGCGUAGCAUUGAAUUAAAUCUUACGUUUAUUAAAAUUAUGGAGUACAAAUUUAGAAUGAUUACAAUAUUUAAAUGUUUUCUUAGUGUAAAGAUGAAUGACUCUUGAAAUUAAUUUUAAAAACUUAAUGAUAUAUAUUGUUGAAUGCUUACAUUAAUUUUUUGAUUGUUAUUAAUCUUAUAUAGAUCAGUUUCGCAAUUAUAAUUCGACGUAAAUUUAUCGUAAUACAUAGCAGAAUUUUGAUAUUUUAUAAUAAUAUAUAUGCACAACGAUCUUCAAAUAAUGUUUACUUAUGUUUCAACUAUUUUGAAAUGGAUUCAGUAGCUUAUUAUUUGGACAGUUAAUGUUUUUGACAAACAUUAGCAAUGAUAAAUAUUCAUUGAUUCACAUGUGAUGGUAUCUUGAACUAGAAUGAUAUUUCUAUACACCACGUUAUACCUAGCUUAGCAAUAUACUUAUAAGUUAUUAUACAUGGGGUGGGGUGGGGUGGGGUGGGGUGGGGGAAUCAAUUAAGAAAGGAUCCAAUGAACCUUAUCAUUAGCCAGCAGAUAAUUGUAUGGAUGGGUAAUUUCAUAAUUAAAAACGAUAAUUUAGUAAGAUCUGCGUUAAACCAAUAAUUACGGAGUAAAUAUUACAUUUCACUUUAUAAACAUGACAUACAUACUAGGAGUUUGUAGCCUGUAGCAACAUCAAUUGACCAAUAAAAUGCUAACACACAUAAAAUCGUGUCACACUCAUAAGACAAUUGAUCAACUUCCUAAAAAAUGAACUUUAUGCUAACCACUUCCCAAAAUUAUGUUGGGGUUUUAAGAAUAUAAGAGUGCCUUGAUCAGCAGCAGCAAACAACAUGCAAGAUAGAGUAUUCAAUUAGAAGGCCCAAAUAAUAAUAUUGAGGAAGUGCAGAAAAAAGAUACUUCCAAGUAGCAGGGGCAUGAACAACUAUAUUAACUAUAUGCAUACUAAGUAUAUUAUUUUAAAACUAUAUGCAUACUAAGUAUAUUAUUAAGUAUAUUAUUUUAAGUAUUAUUAACUAUAUGCAUACUAAGUAUAUUAUUUUAAGUAUAUUAUUAACUAUAUGCAUACUAAGUAUAUUAUUAACUAUAUGCAUACUAAGUAUAUUAUUAACUAUAUGCAUACUAACUAUAUUAUUUUAAAACUGAUAUAUCAUACACUUCCAACAACUACAAAUUUAUAAUUAAAAUAAGAAAGCUAAAAAUAUAAGGCUGAGUUUCAUCUUUUUUCAGAGGGUGAAAAAAUAAGGGGCAUCUACAAUGACCAUUACUACAAUUUAGAACAACUAUCUAUGGCUUUGCUGAAUUGCCUUUGGAUGACUUCUAAUCCCCAAGGAAUCCGAUGCUUUGUACAACAAUCCUAAAUACAACAGUAAAUUACUGCUUCGAAAACAAGAGCAAGAUCACCAUUGACAUGGAAACCACAAUCUUGAAACCAGAGCUUUCCCAAAAGUUCUGUUUAUCAACACCUGAAACUCCAGCUUGUUGCUUUGUUGCUAACUGAUCUCUCAAUUCUUUUAGCGCUUUGUCUCGCCGCUCUCCCAUCUGUUACGAUAAGUACAAUGACAACUAAGAAGAGAAGUUGGAAGAUAUCAAAGAUUUACUUGGUAAAGUUUAUUAGUUUUGUUAUUUAAAUGGAAAUGUUUUGUACAGGCAAAAUAUAAGGUCCCUUUCAUUAUUAUAAAUAGAAAACUAUCUAUCGCAUGCAAGUCCAUGUUAAAAAGCUACAUACUUAAAAAGAGUCCACCAUUUAGAUACAGAAAUCAUAGUUUAUACACACACGAGGGUCUUUAACUCUUAAGCAAGAAAGAAAUAUAAAGGGACAAUUGCACACUAAUAGCCUAAUAUCAGGGCGGCAUGAAAUGUAUAACUUAUAACAAGCAAAAAGUUUUAUCAGCUGUACAUGCAUAAGGUUUCAAUCACAAAUUAAGAAAAUUGAACAGAAGAUAGAUUGCAUUACCCUUUGAAGUUUGCGUGUUUGUGCACGAGCUUCCUGGAGACAGAACUCUAAUUUUAAAACCCUUUUCUUCAACUCCUGAUCAGCUCUCCGAUGCUUCUCUAGCUGUCACAGGAACAAUUCAAGAGACACAUAAUAUAGGCAAAAGCCAUACAAGCGAUGGAAUAAUUUAAUUAGACAACUGUAGUUUAUAAAAGAUAAAGAGUAUGUUAAAAUAUAACUCCAGAUGAGCGUACCUGUGAUUCUAAUUCCUUGGUUUUGAGCUUCCAGUGAGCAGACAUUAUCCGAAUUUCAUCUCUCAGCUUGACUAUUUCUUCAUCCUUAGCACUUAAAAGCUUAUUGAUCUUGUCAAAGUUCUUUGGUGAAACCUCAUCCAAUAUCCUCCUCAACUCACAAUCACUACUUGGUCCAGCUUUUUCCAAUGCUUGCAUAAUGUCACGCUCCAUUCUUAUAACUUCAUCUUUCAGUUGAUUUUGGGAGGAUUCCCUUGCUUGAAGAUCCUUCUGCAACAGAUUUAACUGCUCCGCCAACCUAUUAACACGAAUUUCGUGUUCUUUUAUGGAGUUAUUUUUCUCAUCUAACUCCUUCACUAAAACCAAACACUGGACCUGUGAUGAUUGAGCCAAUGCAUCACUUGCAUCUGCAGUUGCUUGAAUAACUGUGAGCUGUGAUCUAAGAUCAUCCAAGUCCUUGAGGUACUGCCGCACAUAAAAAAAACUAUGUUGAGGAUUACAUAUACUGAAAUAUGUGUGGGUGCCAAAAAUGUACAAAUAUCACAUUGACCAAUAAAAACAAAAGAUGUGGGGAAAAAAGGAAAGGAAAGAAAGUACAAUUUGCUGUUGAUCCCUUGUAAAUGGAAUAAAUGAUUCCUUUAUUUCACCAAUUUAGAAAAGAAAAACUAUCCUGAAAUAGACAUAAAGUUAAACAUCACAUAAUUGCCAUAUUCUAAAAUAUUAACAACUUUACACUAAUUAAUUCCUUCAACAACCACUUAAUUUAUAACAUCUAUAAUUUUAUUCUCUAAUAAUUACUGAUUUGACUAUAAGCAAUUAAAGUUGAUUUGGAAAGUGACCACUUCUUAACAUAGUUAAACAAAAUUAUAAAUUAUACACGUACAAAUUCAUCAAACAAUUUAUCAGUUAUUACUACUUUAGGGGGGAGGGAGAGCUGGAAUCUCUAUCAACAAAGACAUACUUUUAUUAUGCGCACCACGCACAACUCCUCGAAAUAGGGUAGACUUUUGAGUUUAUAUGGUGCCUCCAACAGUUCAGUUAAUAUCUAAUACUAAUAGCCAUUGAAUUUCCUACAUACAAUAUUAUGCAAAAUGUUUGUGGACAAAUUUUUGUGCCCUGAAAUUUAAACUUGGCAGCUUUCAGAGCAAUGUUUAAACAAUACUACAGUGCAUUUAUGUUUGGUUUUAAUUAAUCAAUCAACUUAACUAAAGUUCAUUAGAACCAUCUAAGGUCCUUGGGACUUUAGCUAAACAACUCUAAACUUACUGGUUAUAAUGAAUCCAAAAAAAACAUAAAAGGAAGCUGCCGUCAAACAUCUUUUAGUAGUAUUGAAUUCUAGCAAAUAUUUAAAUACAAUUAUACUAUCUUAAAAAAUACUUUUUUAAAAAGGAUCCUAAAAAAGACUGAAAGUGUAUUCACAAUAUAUCUGUAUUCGAGUGUGUGUGUAUGUGUGUGUGUUCAUAUUUGAAUGAAAAGGUUGAAAGAAAAAAAAUAGAAAGUGAAUAUUGUGUAAAUGCGAAACAUCUGCUGCCAACUAAAUCACUAAUUUAAUUAAGAUUUAGACUUUUUUUUAGAUUCUUCCUUUUCCCAUCUAUUCUCAUUUGGUAAGACAAAUUUCUGAACCAUUCAAACUGCAAACCAAUGAACCAUAAAGUGAAACAAUAAUAUAUUAUCACAAUAUUUUAGAGACUAUUCCAUCUCCGCCACAAAACAAAUAACAAAAUCCAAAAAGCAGUCAGAAAAUAUGCAGCUGAGAUGUCUUAUUGGAUCGAAUACUAAUACAAGUUAAAAGCACCUAAACAGUCCUAUUUACAUGCACAAAACUUGGACCAGAUUAUCUCAGUCAAGAUCAGCAAAACCUUAAUUAUGCAAUUGGGUGUUGAUUUGAAGCAUUUAAGCAAAUCUUAAAGAGAAAUCAAUAUUUUUCAAAUAAAACAGUCGUGCAUAAAUCAAUAAUUAUACCUUCUCCGCACUAGAAGCCGUUGCUUGAAGCUGCCCAUCUCUCUCAUCUAAACUCUUACUUAAUCUAGAUAUCUCUUCUUCCAUGUUUUUCGCUUUAAUCUCCGCUCCCUGAAAAAAUAAAAUAACUUUUGUCACAAAUUACAAGGUCCCACACUCAACACUAACUUUAUAGAGAAGAGCAAAAUGUUGAAAUCAUUUCAUUUCUCAAGUACAUAUAUUAUUUAAAUCACAUCUACUAUAACAAAUUAAGCAAACAAAUUGACAUGCCUGUCUUGUUAGGGUUUCCUGAACAAAGGAUUGUUCCUUAGUAGCAAGGCGGCUUCGAACCUCCUUCAGCUCCGAUGCUAAUGACAGCACGUUCCGACGAAAACUCUGACUCUUCUCAUUCAGAUCCUUCAAUAACGGAUCUAUUUCUCUACUACUAGACAUAACCGCAACUACUCAAAGAAAUUCGGAUGCUGCAGAAAUACUCUGUAUCAAGCCCCAAAAUAAAUUGUUUUUGUGCUUCGAGUUAAAGCUAUCCACAUAUCUGCAUGUGAAAUUUGACAGCUUUCCAAUUCAUUUACUAACAAAAUUUAAAUUAAAGAAACAAUUAAGUUUUUUUUUUCCAUUUCCAGUUUAAAAUUCAAAUUCAUCCUAACAGUCAACACAUAUAUCAACCUUAGUAAGAGAGAGAAAUAUGUAAUUUUGAAAGGUCAAAUAACUUUGAAACUGAUCUACCCCACAAGUUUAUUUCUUGGAGAAAUAAUAAACAGAGCAUACACAUAUACAUAUCUAUAUACACACUCGAAAAACAUGCACAAAAACAAACGAAGGUUAAAAUCUUCGAUUCAGCUUAUAACUAGUUACAUCAUUAGCACAAACAAAAUAAAGAAUAUCAUAUAAAUGCAUAAAAACAUACAUAAUGAAGAUGCAAGUUUUAGAGAGAGAAAGAGGUUAAAAUGAGUCCAAAAAAAUCUUACUCAGAUAAAUCAAAGACUCGCCAUAGCUACAGUAAAGCUACUAAGCUUGAUUUCUGUAUCAUAAGUAUAUGAAUAUGAAGAUGAAGAAGUAGGAGAGAGAAAUCUAUGGAGAAUUAACCGGCGGCGAUUGAUCGGAACGGAAUCGACGGAAGAAGUAGGGGGAGCUAUAAUCUAGGUGUGUGCGUUUAGUAUUGAAGUAUUUCUCCUCCUCCGGUUUUGCGGUGAAAGAGCG